UGGGGAAUUGGGUUUGGCCUGGGAUUCAGAGUUGUGUCUCUUUCUCCUAGCUUCCGGAGGUUGGGUAUUGAGCACAUUGUCUCAGCUUAUAAAAGGACAAAUAGAAGAGCAAUAUUUCUGGACUAUGAUGGUACUGUUGUUCCACAUACAUCUAUUGUUAAAAGCCCCAGCCCUGAAGUCAUAUCUGUUCUGAAAACUCUGUGCAAUGAUCCAAAUAACACUGUCUUUAUUGUUAGUGGGAGAGGGAGAAAUUCAUUGAGUGAGUGGCUUGAGCCAUGUGAGAGAUUAGGAAUAGCAGCUGAACA
This 305-nucleotide unclassified non-coding RNA is filed under the name Hevea brasiliensis (rubber tree). The record is from RNAcentral. Lineage: Eukaryota; Viridiplantae; Streptophyta; Magnoliopsida; Malpighiales; Euphorbiaceae.